GGAUUAGAUACCCUGGUAGUCCACGCCGUAAACGAUGUCUAUUAGCCGUUGGGCCUGUUAUGGGCUUGGUGGCGAAGCUAACGCGAUAAAUAGACCGCCUGGGGAGUACGGCCGCAAGGUUAAAACUCAAAUGAAUUGACGGGGGCCCGCACAAGCGGUGGAGCAUGUGGUUUAAUUCGAAGCAACGCGAAGAACCUUACCUACUCUUGAAAUCCUGCGAACUUGGUAGAGAUACCUUGGUGCCUUCGGGAACGCAGUGACAGGUGCUGCAUGGCUGUCGUCAGCUCGUGCCG
This 293-nucleotide ribosomal RNA is filed under the name uncultured bacterium. Its description in RNAcentral is "partial 16S ribosomal RNA". It matches the Rfam family "Bacterial small subunit ribosomal RNA", at positions 775 to 1067 of the family's 1533-position model. The record is from RNAcentral.